UACAGAGGUCUCAAGCGUUGUCCGGAAUCACUGGGCGUAAAGGGCGCGUAGGUGGCCCGUUAAGUGGCUGGUGAAAUCCCGCGGCUCAACUGCGGGGCUGCCGGUCAUACUGGCGAGCUAGAGCACGGUAGGGGCAGAUGGAAUUCCCGGUGUAGCGGUGGAAUGCGUAGAGAUCGGGAAGAAUACCAGUGGCGAAGGCGUUCUGCUGGGCCGUUGCUGACACUGAGGCGCGACAGCGUGGGGAGCAAACAGG
RNAcentral lists this ribosomal RNA (253 nucleotides) under uncultured bacterium. RNAcentral's name for it is "partial 16S ribosomal RNA". It matches the Rfam family "Bacterial small subunit ribosomal RNA", at positions 524 to 776 of the family's 1533-position model. The record is from RNAcentral.